This is a non-coding RNA of Cricetulus griseus (Chinese hamster), 2172 nucleotides long. Lineage: Eukaryota; Metazoa; Chordata; Mammalia; Rodentia; Cricetidae. The record is from RefSeq and is a predicted model, not a curated record.
UCUCUGUGAGCUCCUAGGCCAUCCAAAAAAAGGAAGGGAGGAAAAAAAGAAAGAAAGAAAGAAAGAAAGAAAGAAAGAAAGAAAGAAAGAGAAACUGUAAAGGAAAGAAACGGAACUGGUAGAGUUGGUUCAUUUUCAUCUUUGUAUUUAUCUUGAGAUGGGGCUGCCCACACUGGUCUCCAGCUUCAGGGCUCAAAUGGUUUUCUCCCUUCUCAGACUUACAGGCAGAAAGGAAGGUUAAUGCCAUCAUGUCUGACUAAUACAGUUGUAUGGGAAACAGUAUGAAGGAUAGAUAACCCAAAGACUUACCCAACCAUGAUGGCACACACCUAUAAUCCCGUACCAGGGAAGCCGAAGAAUUGCUUCUUCAACACCAGCCUGAGAUAAAUAGUGAGAUCCUGUCUCAAAACAAACAAACCAACCCACAAAUACUGCCUGAUCUCUCCAUAUGAAAGGUAGAGGGAGACAGGAAGGUUGGAAGCUCACAUUCAUCCUCGAGCUAUAUAAUUAGUUGAAGCCCAGCCUGGGAUACAUGAGACCCUGGAGAGAUAAAGUGAGCUCGGAGAAAAAGGGGAGAGGAAGGAAGAGCAGGCAGGACAGACAGAGCAGCCCACAAGAAUCUGAUGCCCAGCCCACAGCAGAUUCAGUAAACUCAGGCUCGGACAUUCUCCAGAGGUCAUCUUAUCCACAUGCAUGCCCUGUGUGGGACAUUCAGCACAAUUCAGAGACCCUUGCCCUGUAAUUUAGCUUACAUCUAAACAUGCUAUUUUCUUCAGUAUGGCAUCCAAGAUCUCUGGUAGCCCAUCCACAGGAAGACCAACAUCUAAACACACUGGAGUCUUCAUCAGGUCCUGAGUCCUCGAGUUUGUAGCAGGUUCUGAACCUAGAGUCUGCAGCAGGGUCCAAGCCCUCUGCAGCCUCCCCUGAUACCCAUCACCUCUUCCACGGGGCCCUUGUUGCCCCACAGCUCAGUGCCCCUCCUCUUUCCCGUCCUGAACCCUGCUCUGGCUGACUCCCAAGUAUCCAGAAAGCCCUCCUAACUCUCCAGGUGGGCCUGAUUCUUUUCUUCCUUUAUUUUGGAAGACUCCCUUCCUUUCUUCAUGCCCCAAGUCUGAUGGGUAGGAGACUCAAGAGUAGGUAACCACACGCUGAUAGCCAAGCUUGGGUUUUGCUGCACCAGCAUGGCAAAUGAUGCUUGUCUGUGUUCGGAUAAACAGCUAAAAGGGAUUGUUCCUUCUGCCUUGGCUGGUGGCUGCUUUGAUCUUAUUGGCCUCCCCACUUCUCCCUCUUAAACUUUAUGGGUUCUUCUUUUCUCCUCUUUCCCUUUCUCUGCUUUUUGUGAUCUGCUUGUCAGUUCGAGGCAGGGUUUCACCGUGUCACUCUGAUUGUCCUAGAACUUGCUGUGUAGACCAAGCUGGCCUCAAACUCACUAUGUAGCCAAGCUGACACUGAACCCCUGAGCCUCCUGACUGUAAAAGACUCUGCAUUUAUCGUCAGAAACAAAGGCUGAAUCCCUGUCUUUCGGUUCCUGAGAACUGCCCCACCCACUUCACUGGAGUUUGGAGCCUGCUGUGAGGUUGGCUCGCUGGCACUCGGGAACCCACACUUUUCUCACCAGCCUCUGAAUGAUGACUGCUAAGAGGCAUUGGUGCCUCCUCCAAGAGAUGGGAAGACUGGCAGUUCCCAAGAGAGACAAUUAUUACAGACCUCUCAAGCGUGGGAGGCUGAAGCAGGAUUAUGAGUUCAAGGCCAGCCUGAGCUAUACAGGAAACCUUGUCUCAACCCUCCCUCUCAGCCCCCUGAAAAAAGAAAAGAUUAAUCUCAAUACUUACAAUGCAGAGACAGGCAGUCUCUGUGAUGUUAAGGUCAGCUGUGUCUACACAGCGCGAGACAUUGUCAAAAAGAAAACAGAAAAGAAGCUAGCUUCCAGGCAAAACCUGGAAGUCUGUGGUGGUUGAAGUGGAAACUGUGGCUGUUGGGUUGGGGGAGGAAGAGGAAGGAGGAAGUCUGUGGCUGACACUAUCAAAUCCGAAAAGGCCUCACCAGCUGUGUGCUUAAGGGUCACACGGGGUGGUGGUACAUGCCCUCAAUCCCAGCACUCAGGAGGCAGAGGCAGGUGGAUCUUCAUGAGUUCAAGGCCAGCCUGGUCUACAGAGCGAGUUCCUGGACAGC